This 829-nucleotide long non-coding RNA is filed under the name Mytilus galloprovincialis (Mediterranean mussel). The record is from RNAcentral. Lineage: Eukaryota; Metazoa; Mollusca; Bivalvia; Mytilida; Mytilidae.
GGUUGGUUGGUUGGUUGGUUGGUUGGUUGAAAUUCAAACACACAUAAAACUGCUUAAAUAGUGCCAAAACCACAUAAUUUGAUGACCUUGACCUUUGACCUUGUGACUUUCGUCAAGGUCAUUGCUCCACAAGGUCAUUGCAAAAGACCCUAUGGGUCAAGGACCUUUUGUUAAAGAGUUUUGCCUAAAAAUGGAUUUUUAAAAACCAUCGAUGGGAGUUAUGUCCCUUACAUGAUGGUAAACUCAAUAUAGUCAUAAUGUAAAAAAGUUGCCCCUUGAAGUACCAAGCAUUUUUCACUGCUUAAUAUUUUUGUAUCUAUAACCGUUCAAGAAUUAUAGGGAAAUGAAAAACUUAUAAAAAUCUAAAAUAUGACCUUGACCUUUGACCUUGACCUAAUUUUCUAAGUUAGGAUCCAGGGGACUCAAAUAAAAACAUUCCAGGGUUAUACGGUCAACGGUUUAUGAGUUAAAAAAACAUACCGACAAAUUUAUUCCGUAAAGGUAGAUAACUCCUUUAAAAUUUAAUCGAAUCGCUUCGAUCCAAAUACGCCAAAAAUUACUAAGCAUGUAACGAACAACUUGUGAAAAGAAUUUUGUCGCUAUGUUUUUUUGUUACGAAGGAGAUACGCUCUGAUGAUAAACAGUGAAUAGGGAGAUAACUCUAACAAAGAAAAUGGUUCGGCUUAGCAGGGUAAAAUUUAAAAGCGCAUAAACUAUACGAUACAAUAUGAGAAAUAUCUAAGCGACAUAUUGCGAAACAAACAUUUAUCGCAAGAACAAAAGUUGGCGGAAAAAAAAAAAAAAAUAAUAAUAAUAAUAAUAAUUAAAA